AGGUGUUUAAAAUGAGAAAACACUCAAUAUGGGGUGUGUACAGAUGAAAUUAGACAGGGCUUUCUCGUCUCUUUUUCUCUUACAAAUGGCCACCCCAAGCUCUAUAUUUAUAGAGCUGGGAACCGCAGGUGUACCUGCGGUAGCCGCAGAUGCACCUACGGUUGCCCGGGAUUCCCCGGGCUCCGCGGGUCCUGCCGUCUCGAAGUACGUGUACUUGUGCACUGUGAUGUCAGCUCGAACUUGCAAAACUUCAAUCCGAGCAUCCGAACGAGGUGUACAAGACCAUCUUCGGACUGCUUUUGUCAAGAGUUAUGCAAUGACAUGGGGUUAGAGGUUGUACGAAGUCAAGAAGAGGGGACCAUACCCAUGGUCUUCAAACUUCAAAUUCUAUCCGGUGUGCUGCCAUGCGUAAUAGUCACUCAGGAUUGGAACUCCUUGGCUUUUGUGGGACAUUGCUGUGUAGAAAUGUAUGUAUGAAAUGCUGAGACGGCGUGCAGGGGUUGAGGUGGUAAGAUGACAAUUUGACCCCUCACCGGGGUUAUCUCCAGUUUGGGCUGAUAGCAAACGUUGCUCAGGGUUACAUCUGAGAUUAGACUGCUGCAAGUGUUUGAAUUCUGCAGGGUCAUCUGUAAGUGUGCCUGUCAUCCCGGUGUUAGCUCCGGGUCAUUGGAAUGAGUGCCUCGGUAGGAGGUUUGAGAUUGAAGUUGAUCGCAUGCAUUUGAAACAAGCAUUUCUAGAGUUAUCACCGGAACUGCAAUGGCAUUCCCUGGAGUUAUCUCCAAGGAUGAAACUCGGGGUUAUAUCCGAGGUUGGAAUUGAGAUUCUCGGUGUGUGUUCCGGGGUUGAGACUGAACUUUUGGUAGUAUCGGUAAUGGAUGUGAUCUGUCUUCUAGGGUUAUCUCCAAAAGACAAAUCUGCCCUCCUACAAUGUCAGUAACAGGUGUGCAGAAAAUUUUGAGUGUCUACAGAUGCCCUCUUUAUAAUAUUCAUGCAAUGCAAGGCAUGGAUAGGAUAAAGAAUCCUAGACAUUUGAAAUGCAAUAAGAUAAACAUGAU
RNAcentral lists this long non-coding RNA (1055 nucleotides) under Panax ginseng (ginseng). RNAcentral's name for it is "long non-coding RNA (PGIN_LNC005107)". Lineage: Eukaryota; Viridiplantae; Streptophyta; Magnoliopsida; Apiales; Araliaceae. The record is from RNAcentral.